Molecule: ribosomal RNA, 300 nt
Filed under: Triticum aestivum (bread wheat)
Lineage: Eukaryota; Viridiplantae; Streptophyta; Magnoliopsida; Poales; Poaceae
Description: partial small subunit ribosomal RNA
Source: RNAcentral
AUGGCUUUGGAUGAGGACAGAGCUAGUGGACCAGGGGACGGCACGUAUGAUUCUGAUGGGCGUCAGGAUGCUUUGAUGGACCAGGAUAAGAGAGGAGAUCCACCUCCCUCAUCUGGGGGAACUGGACAGUCGGAGCUAGGAACGGCGGCUCCAGUUUCCGUGUCCAUGCCCAUGACUGAGCUUCAUUUCGGCUCUUUCGGGGCGGCUUCGGCGCCUGCUCGCCUAUGGGCUGAUAGGAUGGACAGUACAGACCCGGCAGAGAGAGGUGGACAUGGUGGGAGAGUUAUCUUCGGCGGGUGA